ACGAAGGGUGCAAGCGAUACUCGGAAUUACUGGGCGUAAAGGGUGCGUAGGUGGUUUUUUAAGUCUGCUGUGAAAUCCCCGGGCUCAACCUGGGAAUGGCAGUGGAUACUGGAAAGCUGGAGUGCGGUAGAGGGUAGUGGAAUUCCCGGUGUAGCAGUGAAAUGCGUAGAGAUCGGGAGGAACACCAGUGGCGAAGGCGGUCUCCUGGAGCCUGUUUGACGCUGAGGCGCGAAAGCUGGGGGAGCGAACGGGA
RNAcentral lists this ribosomal RNA (253 nucleotides) under uncultured prokaryote. RNAcentral describes it as "partial 16S ribosomal RNA". It matches the Rfam family "Bacterial small subunit ribosomal RNA", at positions 525 to 777 of the family's 1533-position model. The record is from RNAcentral.